Molecule: ribosomal RNA, 414 nt
Filed under: uncultured bacterium
Lineage: Bacteria
Description: bacterial SSU rRNA
Rfam family: Bacterial small subunit ribosomal RNA
Source: RNAcentral
GCAGUGGGGAAUAUUGGACAAUGGGCGCAAGCCUGAUCCAGCCAUGCCGCGUGAGUGAUGAAGGCCUUAGGGUUGUAAAGCUCUUUCACCGGUGAAGAUAAUGACGGUAACCGGAGAAGAAGCCCCGGCUAACUUCGUGCCAGCAGCCGCGGUAAUACGAAGGGGGCUAGCGUUGUUCGGAAUUACUGGGCGUAAAGCGCACGUAGGCGGAUAUUUAAGUCAGGGGUGAAAUCCCAGAGCUCAACUCUGGAACUGCCUUUGAUACUGGGUAUCUUGAGUAUGGAAGAGGUAAGUGGAAUUGCGAGUGUAGAGGUGAAAUUCGUAGAUAUUCGCAGGAACACCAGUGGCGAAGGCGGCUUACUGGUCCAUUACUGACGCUGAGGUGCGAAAGCGUGGGGAGCAAACAGGAUUAGA